This is a long non-coding RNA of Oreochromis aureus, 1860 nucleotides long. The record is from Ensembl. Lineage: Eukaryota; Metazoa; Chordata; Actinopteri; Cichliformes; Cichlidae.
GAUGCCCCUCCUUCUUCGACUAACCCGCUGCAGAGGAGCCGUGAGAGCCAGGAACUUGUGAGUUUUGUAUGUCCACUCAGGCAUCAUUCACACCUGGUCUGUAGGAAGUUCCUGUCAGAAGGAGGGGGGCACCGCGAGGGCGUCCAGGGGCGGAAGGCGGUGCCUUAGUGCCUCCCUCCUUCUGACAUUGUAAAAGAACCCUAACUGUAUUUUUUUUUUAAUAGUAAUAUAGAUGUAUAUGUGUGUUUUAUGUCCUCAGAUGAGGUUUGAAGUGUCUGUGUGGUGCAGCUGGCCUGGUCUGUCUCUAUACAGUCGAGGCUGCACCCACCUAUAAAAAGGUGGAGGCUCACCAGGACAUGCACACCUCACAAGUUCCUGGCUCUCUCGGCUCGGUUGAAGACGGGUUUCUUCGAGAAGGGGAGGGCAGUGAGGCACAGUCCCCCGCCCCCCGACGCCCCUCGCGAUGCCCCUCCUUCUUCGACUAACCCGCUGCAGAGGAGCCGUGAGAGCCAGGAACUUGUGAGUUUUGUAUGUCCACUCAGGCAUCAUUCAUACCUGGUCUGUAGGAAGUUCCUGUCAGAAGGAGGGGGCACCGCGGGGGCGUCCAGGGGCGGAAGGCGGUGCCUUAGUGCCUCCCUCCUUCUGACAUUGUAAAAGAACCCUAACUGUAUUUUUUUUUUAAUAGUAAUAUAGAUGUAUAUGUGUGUUUUAUGUCCUCAGAUGAGGUUUGAAGUGUCUGUGUGGUGCAGCUGGCCUGGUCUGUCUCUGUACAGUCGAGGCUGCACCCACCUAUAAAAGGUGGAGGCUCACCAGGACAUGCACACCUCACAAGUUCCUGGCUCUCUCGGCUCGGUAGAAGACGGGUGUCUUCGAGACGGGGAGGGCAGUGAGGCACAGUCCCCCGCCCCCCGACGCCCCUCGCGAUGCCCCUCCUUCUUCGACUAACCCGCUGCAGAGGAGCCAUGAGAGCCAGGAACUUGUGAGUUUUGUAUGUCCACUCAGGCAUCAUUCAUACCUGGUCUGUAGGAAGUUCUUGUCAGAAGGAGGGGGGCACCGCGAGGGCGUCCAGGGGCGGAAGGCGGUGCCUUAGUGCCUCCCUCCUUCUGACAUUGUAAAAGAACCCUAACUGUAUUUUUUUUUUAAUAGUAAUAUAGAUAUAUAUGUAUAUGUGUGUUUUAUGUCCUCAGAUGAGGUUUGAAGUGUCUGUGUGGUGCAGCUGGCCUGGUCUGUCUCUAUACAGUCGAGGCUGCACCCACCUAUAAAAAGGUGGAGGCUCACCAGGACAUGCACACCUCACAAGUUCCUGGCUCUCUCGGCUCGGUUGAAGACGGGUUUCUUCGAGAAGGGGAGGGCAGUGAGGCACAGUCCCCCGCCCCCUGAUGCCCCUCCUUCUUCGACUAACCCUCUGCAGAGGAGCCGUGAGAGCCAGGAACUUGUGAGUUUUGUAUGUCCACUCAGGCAUCAUUCAUACCUGGUCUGUAGGAAGCUCCUGUCAGAAGGAGGAUGCACAGUGAACAGUUGAACCCCAGUCGGCAGCGACAGAUGGCCACCCCUUCCUGAGCCUGGUUCUGUCGGAGGUUUCUCCCUGUUAAAAGGGAGUUUUUCCUCCCCACCGUCGCCAAGUGCUUGCUCAUAGGGGAUUUUUGGGGCUUUUUUUUAAAACCAACCGCUGAUAAGUUCACUGGCAUCAAUUUUAGGACUCAGCAAAUAUUUAAAUGGAUAAUUCGCCAUCAAGUGAGGAAUGAUCCAUUUAAAUCAUAUUUGAGAGUCACAUUUAUUUGUAUAUAAGUAUGAUUUCUUGGACAAUAAGGCCAAUCACAGACUAAUUUGGACAAUUGGGAAAAAUUAAAUAAAUAAAAA